UUCCACAGCCAUAUCACCUUGCAGCCCAAGACUGGUUGCCCACUGAAGCUAAGCAGGGUUGAGCUGGUCAGUACCUGGAUGGGAGACCUCCUGGGAAAACUAGGUUGCUGCUCUAU
This 116-nucleotide ribosomal RNA is filed under the name Sinocyclocheilus anshuiensis. Lineage: Eukaryota; Metazoa; Chordata; Actinopteri; Cypriniformes; Cyprinidae. The record is from RNAcentral.